RNAcentral lists this non-coding RNA (961 nucleotides) under Sus scrofa (pig). RNAcentral's name for it is "12S ribosomal RNA". It matches the Rfam family "Bacterial small subunit ribosomal RNA". The record is from RNAcentral. Lineage: Eukaryota; Metazoa; Chordata; Mammalia; Artiodactyla; Suidae.
CACAGGUUUGGUCCUGGCCUUUCUAUUAAUUCUUAAUAAAAUUACACAUGCAAGUAUCCGCGCCCCGGUGAGAAUGCCCUCCAGAUCCUAAAGAUCAAAAGGAGCAGGUAUCAAGCACACCUAUAACGGUAGCUCAUAACGCCUUGCUCAACCACACCCCCACGGGAAACAGCAGUGAUAAAAAUUAAGCCAUGAACGAAAGUUUGACUAAGUUAUAUUAAUUAGAGUUGGUAAAUCUCGUGCCAGCCACCGCGGUCAUACGAUUAACCCAAAUUAAUAGAUCCACGGCGUAAAGAGUGUUUAAGAAAAAAAAACCACAAUAGAGUUAAAUUAUAACUAAGCUGUAAAAAGCCCUAGUUAAAAUAAAAUAACCCACGAAAGUGACUCUAAUAAUCCUGACACACGAUAGCUAGGACCCAAACUGGGAUUAGAUACCCCACUAUGCCUAGCCCUAAACCCAAAUAGUUACAUAACAAAACUAUUCGCCAGAGUACUACUCGCAACUGCCUAAAACUCAAAGGACUUGGCGGUGCUUCACAUCCACCUAGAGGAGCCUGUUCUAUAAUCGAUAAACCCCGAUAGACCUUACCAACCCUUGCCAAUUCAGCCUAUAUACCGCCAUCUUCAGCAAACCCUAAAAAGGAACAAUAGUAAGCACAAUCAUAACACAUAAAAACGUUAGGUCAAGGUGUAGCUUAUGGGUUGGAAAGAAAUGGGCUACAUUUUCUACAUAAGAAUACACACCAUACGAAAGUUUUUAUGAAACUAAAAACCAAAGGAGGAUUUAGCAGUAAAUCAAGAAUAGAGUGCUUGAUUGAAUAAGGCCAUGAAGCACGCACACACCGCCCGUCACCCUCCUCAAGCAUGUAGUAAUAAAAAUAACCUAUAUUCAAUUACACAACCAUGCAAGAAGAGACAAGUCGUAACAAGGUAAGCAUACUGGAAAGUGUGCUUGGAUUAC